This 315-nucleotide unclassified non-coding RNA is filed under the name uncultured Aspergillus. RNAcentral's name for it is "sequence contains ITS1". The stretch from base 1 to 105 matches the Rfam family "5.8S ribosomal RNA", at positions 50 to 154 of the family's 154-position model. Lineage: Eukaryota; Fungi; Ascomycota; Eurotiomycetes; Eurotiales; Aspergillaceae. The record is from RNAcentral.
GAAAUGCGAUAAGUAAUGUGAAUUGCAGAAUUCAGUGAAUCAUCGAGUCUUUGAACGCACAUUGCGCCCCCUGGUAUUCCGGGGGGCAUGCCUGUCCGAGCGUCAUUGCUGCCCUCAAGCACGGCUUGUGUGUUGGGCCCCCGUCCCCGGUUCUCCCCGGGGACGGGCCCGAAAGGCAGCGGCGGCACCGCGUCCGAUCCUCGAGCGUAUGGGGCUUUGUCACCCGCUCUGUAGGCCCGGCCGGCGCCAGCCGACACCCCAACUUUAUUUUCUAAGGUUGACCUCGGAUCAGGUAGGGAUACCCGCUGAACUUAA